AAUCUUCUCCUAUACCAAUGGAAAUCAACAGCUGGAUACCAUUAGUCAGUGUCCGUUCACUUCACCGAUCCAGCUUUAAUGAUAGCAGUUUUCAAAAUAUCUUUUAAUCUUUUGCUACCCAUUUCCAAAGGAGUUCAUCUUCCUUUUUCUUUCAAUCUGGUUGCCUUGGUCGAAGUUUCUCUAGCGUACAACAAACGUAAUCUGGAACUCCAACCAACAGGUAAUGACUUUCUCCCUUCUUUAGAGCCUUUUUAACAAGAACAUGGGCAUAUUAUUCUCUAUUUUAGGGAUAAAAUGAAACCCUAUCUCUUGAAAUUCUGCCUUUUUGCUUUGGAUGUCUCUGAUGAGUGCUCCAAUGGCCAAUUUGUCAAAAUCUGUACUUUGGCAUUUCUUUAUUACAGUUUUUGAGUCUCCCAUUAUUUCUAUAUUGUUUAAGCCCAUGUAAAUUCCUAAUCUCAUGGCUUGUAAUCUUGUAUGUGCAUUCGCCGUAAACGGAGUUGCUAUAUCGGAGUGAAUGACCGUCUUUGAUGCCAAGAUCUCGCUCCUCACAUCUCGUACUAUCAGACCCGAAGCAGAUUUGAAAGAUUGUUGGUCAAAGGCUACAUCAAAAAAGAUUGCAACCUUUGUUCUUCGAUUAACAUGUUUAGGGCCUCUGUCAACUUGAAAGAUUAACUAAAGCCCACAACAGAAAAGUUGACACUGUUCACUAGUCCUCCGACUAAAAACCCAGGACACUGUCAAAAUAUAUGAUUACUAUCUUCCUUAUAUUGGCGACACCGAGGGCAAUAAUCAUCCACAGCCACUUUCUUAUGCUUGAGGUUAAUAAGAGUAGGAAUAAAACUCCAUGAGAUUCUUCAUACUGUAAUUGUAACUUUUGAGGGAAUGUAUAAAUUCCGUAGCUUUCUGUAGAAUUUUUUGUUUCAGCCUGUAUAAUAUAAUUACUAGGACCCAAGUUAGUCUCCUGUAAUAGUUUAUAGGCACUUCUAACUAAGAAAUCACCAGACUAUUCUUCUCUCCACACUUGAAAAUCAUCAUAUGCUGUCUCUGCCCAAGGAAUCUGCAUGAUUUUCUUUGCAAUAUCCGUUUGAAAGACAGAGAUAUGAUCCCCUGUUCCAAACCUCCAUCAUAAACCUUUCUCCAGAAGUCCUCUUACUACUCAAAUACUUUUCCAGGUAAGCAAAGGUAAAUUCCCUAACCGAGCAUUAUAGAAAUUCGAGUUAGGAUAAUAUUUUGCCUUCAAGACACGGGCUAAUAAAGAAUUUGGAAAAUUAAUAAAAUGACAACCCUACUUUGCUAAUAAUGUUAUAUUAAAUUUUUCAAGAUUUCGAAAUCUAAGACCACUGUCUUCUUUUAAUGAGCACAGAUCCUUCCAAGCACACCAAUGAAUACCUUUUUUAUCUUAACCUUUUUGCCACCAGAAUUUAGCUAUAGUACCCUUCAAACCAGCACAUAGUGAUUUAGGAAGUAAAAAGCAAGCCAUAGUGUAAGUUGGAAUGGAUUGAAGAAUAGUCUUUAUGAAGACCUCUUUCCCUCCCUGAGAUAGAUGCUCUAUACUCUAAUUAUCUAUCUGUUACUUGAAUCUAUCCUUCAAGACUUGAAAAGACGAUUUCUUCUUUCUUCCCACCAUAUUAGGAGACCAAGAUAUCAUUCUGGAUUAUUUGAUUUACGCACUCUUAAAUACACUCGAAACUAUUAUUUUUUCCCCAUCCUGCGUAUUAUUACUAAAAAAUACUGUUGACUUAUCAUAGUUAACACAUUGACCCGAACAAAUCUCGUAUUCUUACAAAAUCUACUUUAAAGAAUGCGCCCAUCUUUUAGUAGCUUAUUCAAACAAAAUGCAAUCAUCUACAAAUAGUAGAUGAGAAAUAUGUGGCUCACUUUUACUUGCUUUUACUCCACUAAGUAUUUUUCUUUCAUUGCAAUCGUCAUAAGACUAGAGAGGCCUUUCCCACAAAAUAAAAAUAGAAACAGACUCAAAGGAUCUCCUGUCUUAGUCCUCUAGUUGGAUGAAAAGUUUCUCCAAUGUGUCAAUUGAAAACCACCGAAUACGAUACUGUAGAUACGUAUUUCGUUAAAGAAUCAACCCAUCCUGAAUCAAAACCCAUUCUCCUUAUUAUUUUUUCCACAAAAUUCCAUUAGACCCUGUCGCACCGCAAUAAACCAUUUUUUCCCUACCUUCUUGUGCUUUAAUGUGUGUAAAAUUUCAUAAUUCAGUAACACAUUAUCAAAAAUCAACCUCCAAGGCACAAAAGCACUUUGUGCUAAAUUAGUACAUUUAUCAACCACUACGCUAAUUUGAUUAGCAAUGACCUUAACUAUCAAUUUAUAAAGCACAUUACAUAAGCUAAUUGGUCUAAAUUGAGUAAUACUUGAAGGGUUUGAAAUUUUCGGUAUUAGCACAAUAUUUGUUUUAUUGGUCGAAUUUAUAUUCAUACCUUCAUUUAGUCGUUGAAGACAAAAGGCUGAAACAUAUUCUCCGAUGAUCGACCAACACUUUUGAUAAAAUAAGGAUGGAAAGCCAUCCUCUCCUGGUGCUUUUGUGGAACCUAAUUCUGAUAAUGCUUCUCGGAUCUCCUCUUAAAGUUGCUCGCUUUUAGCCUAGAAUUGUCUUCAUCAGAAAUACAGUAAUCAAUUCCGGACAAAAUAUGUUCAUAAUUUCCUUAUCUCCUAGCUGAAAAUAGCCUUUGGAAAUACGAUCUAGUAAUUACUUCCAUUUCUUUAACCUCUUCCGUCUCCCUACCAUCAUCGAACUGCAUUUUACAAAUAAAAUUUCUUCUUCUCCUAUGUGUCGCUUGUUUAUGAAAAAAGCAGUAUUUUUGUCUCCAUAUUUCAUCCAAUUUACUCGAGCCCUCUGUUUCCAGUAGCACUCAUCCUUCUCAAUCUCAAAAUUCAGUUGUAUCUUUGUGUCAAUGAAUUCUGCCAAGUUAUCAUUUUUAUUAGAUUCUAACAAUUUAGUCAAUUUAGAAGUUAAUACCUCUUUUUUUUUUAUUUUUCUACUGCGUCGAGUUUGAUUAGCUGACCUCUCCAAGCCUUUUUUUACACUUUCUAACUUGCUCAAUAGAUUUCCUGUGGAAUUCUCCCAAAUGUACCGAACCUCCUCAACAAAUGAUUCCUCUAAAACCCACCAAGUUUCAAACUUAAAACUUUUAUUAAAAUGUCCCUUAACUUCAAGUUCUGUAGUAAUAAAUAGUGACAAUAGUCUGAUAAAGAAUGAGAAAUAUGUUGAAUUAAUGAAUCUGGAAAUAAGGAUAUCCAUUCUUUAGUAGCCAAUCCCCUAUCUAAUCUUUCUUGAAUGUUCGUUUCCGGAAAGUUUCCUCUCUCCCAAAUGAACCAGUUUCCUGAUAACCUACAUCUAACAGAUUACAAUCUUCCAACGCCUUUCGAAAAGCUUCCAUUCGUCUCUCCUCUCAAGGUAAGCCUCUAUUUUUUUCAAAUUCAUACAUAAUUUCAUUAAAGUCUCCACAAACCAGCCAUGGAAGCUCCCCUUCAUUACGUAAGUGCCUUAAAAGAUUCCAUGAUUCAUCCCUAUCCUAUGUGUAUCUUCACUUGUUACUGGCAUCUGUAUCUUCGAUUAUCACAUCAAUAUGCCAUGCUAAACAUAAUCCUCCUCUAGAACCAAUUGAAUCAACAUCAAUACCAUUAGGAAAACCACAACUCCUUCAAACUCUUUCCAUCUGACUCCUUUUAAUUUUUGUCUUCAUGAAGAAGACCAUAUGGGGAUUGUAUAACUUCAGCGGAUUCCGAAGUCUUUGAAUUGUCCAUGGAUUCCCCAAACCAUGGACAUUCCAACUUAAGAUUUUUAUGGCUCCAGGUUGGCUUGCCUCUUGGUAGCCGCUGAUAACAAAUGAUUAAUUUCCAAUAAUCCCCUAUUUUUAACUACCAAAAUGUUACUUUCUUCAGUCUCCCUCUAGCUCUCUUUUCCCGUUCCUCUCCUAUUAACACAUCAUCUUCCAAAUCAUGGUCCACUACAGUUUGGGCUUAACCUGUCAAUGAAUUUUCCCCUUGACAUGAAGAGGACGUUCUUCCUUCCAAAUUGAAACCUAAAAUAGGGUCAAUAACCUUGUUUCUCCCUUAUUUUUUACCUACUCCCCACCCACUGUUUCCUAGUGUUCGGCCGCUUACACUGCUUCCACCCAGUACUCCUUCUCAUUCCUGUCGUAGUUAGAUGCUAUUCAUUGCUUGGGCUCUCCGAGAUUGUCUCGCAGUGAUAAGUCCCAACCCAUUUCAGCAAUUUCUACCCCUAAUGCAUCUUUGCUUCACAAAAAGAAUCAUUAUGGCCCAAACGGCCAUAAUAGAAACAAAAAAGUGAUAAUCUUUAAUACUUAAAUCUAACAUAUGAGCAUUUCUAGAAAACAUAACCUGUUUCUUCCUUUUUAGAGGAUGUCGAAUAUCUAUUUGGACUCUUAUUCUCAUUAAGUUUUGAUUCUCUUUCGCCAGAUUCAAGCCAUCAUACUCCAUAAAACUUCCUAUGAAAUUACCCAAUUGCAUAGCCAAAUUGUCAGAAAAAAACUUAUAGGAACAUCAUGAAUUUGUACCUACAAAAUGUGUUAAAAUUAAAGGAACUUUUAAUGGAUCCUCCCCCCAUUGCAACUUGUAUAACACUAAUAAAUGAUUAUUAAAAGUCCAUGACGACCCCUUCAAAAUCCUAUCCAUAUUCAUAACAUGAAAAAAUUGAAAUAAAUACCUUUUCUCCCCCGGAUCUCGAAUUUGAACACCACGAACAGGAUGCCAUAGGUUGGCCAUAGUGCUAUUCAUUGCUGGGAAGUGAAUAAAACUGGCUGUUAAAAAGCAUCUCACCAACCUAAAAGCCCCCACUUCUCUUUCCGUGUUCGAAUUUACUUGUAGUUGUAAAACUUCUUCUUCUUUUUCAUUGAGCGUUAAUCCAACAAAAUCUAUUUCUAUGGAUGCAGGUAAAAUCUCAAACGUACAUAACCUUUUUCUAAAGAUUAAAGAGGACUUUAAAGAUGGUUGCUACCAACAAAACAAAAGACUCAAUAAAAACCUAAAAACUUGCCAGAGAAAGCAGACAGUUGCGUGCUAGGGUAGCAGACCUGUUCUCAAUGCUAUUUUUAAAUAAUAAACAAUUUCUAUAUGAUACAGAAGACGAAGUAUACCAUGUUUUCUUUUUCUUAUAAGAUCUAGCGUUAAGUAAAUACUAAACUUACAUAAGCAAAAA
Gossypium arboreum is the source of this 5176-nucleotide long non-coding RNA. RefSeq lists it as uncharacterized. The record is from RefSeq and is a predicted model, not a curated record. The transcript has 4 exons. NCBI's taxonomy places the organism in Eukaryota, Viridiplantae, Streptophyta, Magnoliopsida, Malvales, Malvaceae.